AGUGAACGCUGGCGGUAGGCCUAACACAUGCAAGUCGAACGGCAGCACAGUAAGAGCUUGCUCUUACGGGUGGCGAGUGGCGGACGGGUGAGGAAUACAUCGGAAUCUACUUUUUCGUGGGGGAUAACGUAGGGAAACUUACGCUAAUACCGCAUACGACCUACGGGUGAAAGCAGGGGAUCUUCCGCCCUUGCGCGAUUGAAUGAGCCGAUGUCGGAUUAGCUAGUUGGCGGGGUAAAGGCCCACCAAGGCGAAGAUCCGUAGCUGGUCUGAGGGGUUGAUCGGCCACACGGAAAUUGAGACAGGGUCCGGGCUCCAAGGGAGGGCAGAGGGGGGAAUAAUGGAACAAGGGGCGAAACCCUGUCCCAGCCAUACCGCGUGGGUGAAGAGGGCCUUGGGUUGUAAAGCCCUUUUGUUGGGAAAGAAAAGCAGCAGGUUAAUACCCCGCUGUUCUGACGGUACCCAAAGAAUAAGCACCGGCUAACUUCGUG
This 491-nucleotide ribosomal RNA is filed under the name uncultured bacterium. Its description in RNAcentral is "partial 16S ribosomal RNA". It matches the Rfam family "Bacterial small subunit ribosomal RNA", at positions 29 to 507 of the family's 1533-position model. The record is from RNAcentral.